UUUUUUACCUGUAUGACUGAU
This 21-nucleotide non-coding RNA is filed under the name Caenorhabditis elegans. The record is from RNAcentral. Lineage: Eukaryota; Metazoa; Nematoda; Chromadorea; Rhabditida; Rhabditidae.